This 754-nucleotide long non-coding RNA is filed under the name Capsicum annuum. Its description in RNAcentral is "long non-coding RNA (CANN_LNC000891)". Lineage: Eukaryota; Viridiplantae; Streptophyta; Magnoliopsida; Solanales; Solanaceae. The record is from RNAcentral.
AUCCGUCAACUGGCCAAACCAGGUCAAAUUGUAAAUUUAUAAAUUCUUUCAAAUUCCCCAAAUUUCCAAUUCAAUUUUGAUCAAAAUCAUUCAGUUUUACCCCAUUUCGCACAUAGACAGUACCUACGCGCUCCUCAAUUCCUUAAUCCUCAAGAAUUCCGUUUGAACUUUGAAAAUUUUCCCCAAUUCUUAUGGUCAGAUUUCCCCUCAUUUGAACCCUAGUAAUCAGACAAAACAUAAAAGAUGAGGUACCAGUUGCAGAGGAGGAAAUUUUCAGCUGAAAGGUGAAUUUCCAAAGAAGCUAAUCCUCCACCAAUGCCUUAUUCAGGUAACCAUGCCCAGACUGGGAUCUGAAAACAAAUCAGAUAAAUCGUUGUGGUUUUUUUUUUCUCUCUCUCUCUUUUUUUGUGGUAAGUCUUGUUUGUUUACCCUAGGAUUGCUUACAGUUAAGAUCAAGACAACAAGACAUCAACUAUCCAAGACUAUAUAUUUUCUCUCCCUCUGCCGUUGGUAACUUCACUUUUAGGCAAACUAUCAUUACAACAACAAACCCAUUGUGAUACCACAAGGUGGGUCGGGAAACUAUCUAUCAGUACAUGAGCAGAAAAAAAUGAUGAUGAUCAGUUUUGUCUAAAUAGCUCAUUUAAGCAAUUUUGCUUUUCCAUUGGUUAUUGUCUUUCUAGAAUCUUACAAUGCAAACCUCCCACUGUGAUACCACAAGGUGGGUCGGGAAACUAUCUAUCAGUACAUGAGC